Molecule: non-coding RNA, 924 nt
Organism: Prunus mume (Japanese apricot)
Lineage: Eukaryota; Viridiplantae; Streptophyta; Magnoliopsida; Rosales; Rosaceae
Source: RefSeq, a predicted model, not a curated record
CCCCUGAACGAAAGGCGGUGGCGAUCAGGUUUCGUUUUGUGUAGAUUAUCGAAUUUGUUGUUUCUCUUCUUCUGUUUGGGUUUGAUUCUAUGCUUUCGAUAUCGAUAUCGAUGGAUUAAGUUUUGUUAUCGCUAUGCUUUAGGUUUUGGUGAUGGAUUUUGCUAACCGAUUAAAAGUUGGAUCUAAUGACCUUCGAAGGUUGUGACUGUAUAAAGAACCAGAGAUUGUGUAUAUUUGCAGGCGUGUUUUAUUGGUUCAGAUGAGACCCAAACGACAUCGUGGAUCAUGUGACGGCAUCGUGUAUUCAGUACCUAGUUAUGCUUGCGUUUUGAUUUGGACGAAAACCUCAUCGAUUUACCUUCUAUGGGAGAUCUUUCGUUUACCUCCUUUGAUUUUGUUCUGAAGUUUACAAUAUAAUGAUUUGGAAAUUCCCCUCGGUUUUUAUCAAUCAAAUAAGCGGAGCUUUGCUGUUAUUUUUCAGGCCUCGUUUGCGGUGUUUGACACACGAGGGUUAGAUGUUUGGUUAGCUGAUAACUCGAUAGGUUCUUAUGGGAUCUGAUUGUGGAUGGCUACGAGGUUGGAUUUUUCUACUGUUUUACGGAUGCAAUGGAAUGUUGAAUUUCAAAAUUGUCUAUCCGGAUCUAUUGAUUUGCAGGAGAUAUAGUAAUAGUAUUGCGGAUGGCUUUGGGCUUAUUACUGCACAUUUGUCGUCUUUGGAUAGAGCGUAGUGCACUCCAUUUGUAAAGGUUUUCGUUGGUUUGCUGCAUAUGGAUUAUUGUUUUUGGUUACCUGUUUAUUCUUUUACAGUUUGUCAAAAUGCGAGUAUUUAUAUAUCUUUCUAGUCCCUGAAAUUUGUAAGUAAUAUCAUGUUUAUGUCCUCCUUUUCUCUAUAAUCAUGCCAAACCUUCUGCUCUUUUAUUGACA